CACGAUGGCCACGCCACCCUGAACGCACCCGAUCCUGUCUGAGUUCGGAAGCUAAGCAGGGUCAGGCCUGGUUAGUACUUGGAUGGGAGACCACCUCGGAAGACCAGGUGCUGUAGACG
This 119-nucleotide ribosomal RNA is filed under the name Pteropus alecto (black flying fox). The record is from RNAcentral. Lineage: Eukaryota; Metazoa; Chordata; Mammalia; Chiroptera; Pteropodidae.